This 707-nucleotide ribosomal RNA is filed under the name uncultured bacterium. RNAcentral's name for it is "bacterial SSU rRNA". It matches the Rfam family "Bacterial small subunit ribosomal RNA", at positions 60 to 743 of the family's 1533-position model. The record is from RNAcentral.
AGUCGAACGAGAAUCUAUGGAAAGAGGCUUCGGCCAAUUGAAGUAGAGGACAGUGGCGGACGGGUGAGUAACGCGUGAGCAACCUGCCUCGGAGUGGGGGACAACAGGGGGAAACCUCUGCUAAUACCGCAUAAUGUCAUUGGGUGGCAUCACUUAAUGACCAAAGAUUUAUUGCUCUGAGAUGGGCUCGCGUCUGAUUAGGUAGUUGGUGAGGUAACGGCUCACCAAGCCUACGAUCAGUAGCCGGGUUGAGAGACUGAACGGCCACAUUGGGACUGAGAUACGGUCCAUACUCCUACGGGAGGCAGCAGUAGGGAAUCUUCCACAAUGGGCGCAAGCCUGAUGGAGCAACACCGCGUGAGUGAAGAAGGGUUUCGGCUCGUAAAGCUCUGUUGUUGGAGAAGAACGUGCGUGAGAGUAACUGUUCAUGCAGUGACGGUAUCCAACCAGAAAGUCACGGCUAACUACGUGCCAGCAGCCGCGGUAAUACGUAGGUGGCAAGCGUUAUCCGGAUUUAUUGGGCGUAAAGCGAGCGCAGGCGGUUGCUUAGGUCUGAUGUGAAAGCCUUCGGCUUAACCGAAGAAGUGCAUCGGAAACCGGGCGACUUGAGUGCAGAAGAGGACAGUGGAACUCCAUGUGUAGCGGUGGAAUGCGUAGAUAUAUGGAAGAACACCAGUGGCGAAGGCGGCUGUCUGGUCUGCAACUGA